RNAcentral lists this ribosomal RNA (496 nucleotides) under uncultured bacterium. RNAcentral describes it as "partial 16S ribosomal RNA". It matches the Rfam family "Bacterial small subunit ribosomal RNA", at positions 29 to 507 of the family's 1533-position model. The record is from RNAcentral.
AUGAACGCUGGCGGCGUGCCUAAUCCAUGCAAGUCGCGCGAACAGGCGAGGAGCUUGCUCCUCUGACGUUAGCGGCGGACGGGUGAGUAACACGUGGAUAACCUACCUAUAAGACUGGGAUAACUUCGGGAAACCGGAGCUAAUACCGGAUAAUAUAUUGAACCGCAUGGUUCAAUAGUGAAAGACGGUUUUGCUGUCACUUAUAGAUGGAUCCGCGCCGCAUUAGCUAGUUGGUAAGGUAACGGCUUACCAAGGCAACGAUGCGUAGCCGACCUGAGAGGGUGAUCGGCCACACUGGAACUGAGACACGGUCCAGACUCCUACGGGAGGCAGCAGUAGGGAAUCUUCCGCAAUGGGCGAAAGCUUGACGGAGCAACGCCGCGUGAGUGAUGAAGGUCUUCGGAUCGUAAAACUCUGUUAUUAGGGAAGAACAAAUGUGUAAGUAACUAUGCACGUCUUGACGGUACCUAAUCAGAAAGCCACGGCUAACUACGUG